GUUCCAUCUAUGCUAGCCUAGUUUACUAUGUGAGUGAAUGUGCCACGGCUGUACAGUUUUCACCUUUCAUCCAAGAACAAGUUCAAGUUGCAUAAGACUACUCCAAACCUAUUAAUGAUCCAUUUUCAAACACAUAUAAUCUAAAUUAGAGGAACCAUCUUAAUUUUUCUUGGAGACCCAAACAAGCACAGACCCAAAUUUCUCUGGUAUAAAACUUUCAAAAUAUGCCCC
This 231-nucleotide long non-coding RNA is filed under the name Elaeis guineensis (African oil palm). RNAcentral's name for it is "long non-coding RNA (EGUI_LNC029450)". The record is from RNAcentral. Lineage: Eukaryota; Viridiplantae; Streptophyta; Magnoliopsida; Arecales; Arecaceae.